This 904-nucleotide long non-coding RNA is filed under the name Homo sapiens (human). Its description in RNAcentral is "long non-coding RNA NONHSAT210030.1". Lineage: Eukaryota; Metazoa; Chordata; Mammalia; Primates; Hominidae. The record is from RNAcentral.
GCCGGGGUGUCAUUGGCUCUGGGAAGCGGCAGCAGAGGCAGGGACCACUCGGGGUCUGGUGUCGGCACAGCCAUGGCGGGCGCGUUGGUGCGGAAAGCGGCGGACUAUGUCCGAAGCAAGGAUUUCCGGGACUACCUCAUGAGCACUUCUGGGGCCCAGUAGCCAACUGGGGUCUUCCCAUUGCUGCCAUCAAUGAUAUGAAAAAGUCUCCAGAGAUUAUCAGUGGGCGGAUGACAUUUGCCCUCUGUUGCUAUUCUUUGACAUUCAUGAGAUUUGCCUACAAGGUACAGCCUCGGAACUGGCUUCUGUUUGCAUGCCACGCAACAAAUGAAGUAGCCCAGCUCAUCCAGGGAGGGCGGCUUAUCAAACACGAGAUGACUAAAACGGCAUCUGCAUAACAAUGGAAAAGGAAGAACAAGGUCUUGAAGGGACAGCAUUGCCAGCUGCUGCUGAGUCACAGAUUUCAUUAUAAAUAGCCUCCCUAAGGAAAAUACACUGAAUGCUAUUUUUACUAACCAUUCUAUUUUUAUAGAAAUAGCUGAGAGUUUCUAAACCAACUCUCUGCUGCCUUACAAGUAUUAAAUAUUUUACUUCUUUCCAUAAAGAGUAGCUCAAAAUAUGCAAUUAAUUUAAUAAUUUCUGAUGAUGGUUUUAUCUGCAGUAAUAUGUAUAUCAUCUAUUAGAAUUUACUUAAUGAAAAACUGAAGAGAACAAAAUUUGUAACCACUAGCACUUAAGUACUCCUGAUUCUUAACAUUGUCUUUAAUGACCACAAGACAACCAACAGCUGGCCACGUACUUAAAAUUUUGUCCCCACUGUUUAAAAAUGUUACCUGUGUAUUUCCAUGCAGUGUAUAUAUUGAGAUGCUGUAACUUAAUGGCAAUAAAUGAUUUAAAUAUUUGU